Molecule: long non-coding RNA, 626 nt
Filed under: Homo sapiens (human)
Lineage: Eukaryota; Metazoa; Chordata; Mammalia; Primates; Hominidae
Description: HSALNT0008062
Source: RNAcentral
ACACAGGGAUCACAUUUACGAAGGGAUCUUUCAAGAGCCUCAAAAGCAGGACUACUUCAUGAGCCAACUCGUAGUGACAAGCCCUGCCCCUGCAAGUGAGAAGGGGGGCGCUUCCAAAUCAAGCACCAUUUGUCAAGGAAAAACAGGUUGCAUCCUUGCAUUAAAGGAGAAUGGGAACCAGGCUAGAGCCAAAGAUCUUCCAGCCUUUCUCUGGAAUGGACCGAAUAUGGAAUAACAUGGACAUGUCUGAUGCACAUCUGGAGAUGGGACGGCAGCGCAUAAUACUUCCUGGAACUGCGAGACAAUGGGGUUGUCUUUUGACAUUGAGGCAGGUUAUUAAAUAGAAGUGUGAACUAUUAAGAGAUGAUCUUGACCCUCAAUACAUUUUUAUCAAAGUCAAAAAAUAUUUGACACCACUGAACAGCUUAUCACAGGCACAAAAGGGGAAAUGCUUUAUUAUGGAAAUGUGUACUAUGUUCUUCAAAACAGAAGAAUAAAAAUAUAUGCAUUUUUAAAUGAAUAACAGCUUGUAAGACUCCCAAUGAUUAACAGCAGUUGUACAUUAAGUAUUCUCUGAAAUGAUAUUUGUAAACUGGAGGGUUGACCAAUCUUAGUGCGAACUUCCU